This 193-nucleotide unclassified non-coding RNA is filed under the name uncultured Cortinarius. RNAcentral's name for it is "sequence contains ITS2". The record is from RNAcentral. Lineage: Eukaryota; Fungi; Basidiomycota; Agaricomycetes; Agaricales; Cortinariaceae.
AUAUAUAUAUCAACCCUCUCUUUGUUGAGCGGUUUGGAUGUGGGGGUUUGCUGUGGCCUCUUGAAGAGGGUUCAGCUCCCCUGAAAUGCAUUAGCAGAACAACCUUGUUCAUUGGCGUGAUAAACUAUCUACGCUAUUGAAUGUGAGGGGCAGUUCAGCCUUCUAACGGUCCUUUGGGACAAAUUCAUCAUUA